Gasterosteus aculeatus aculeatus (three-spined stickleback) is the source of this 3599-nucleotide long non-coding RNA. Lineage: Eukaryota; Metazoa; Chordata; Actinopteri; Perciformes; Gasterosteidae. The record is from Ensembl.
GUGAAAGGAUUUAAUUUAUUGUCAAAUCCUUGAUCAUUUAACUUGUCAAAAUAUUGAAUGCCGUUUAGGAAAUGGUUGCUUGGCUUCUUCUGAAGAUGGACCCUUUCAAUAUGCAAAGCAUGCCAUGCGUUAGCAUGCGUUUAGCAAAUGAAACUUUAAUGGAUAGUUGGAAAGUGGCUUCAGAGCUUUGACAGCUGUAACACCAAAUGAUUUAACAUGAGAUGCUUUCAUUCAGGAGACUUUAUUCUGCUUCAUUUACGUUCAAGCUCUUGCUUCAAUGUUGUGAUAUGAUAACUCUCCAAAGCGCGUGCAAUCUGCAAAGUCCUCUCUCCUUUCAUUUAAAAAUCAGAGGUAAAACAACCCCAGCCACACUGCAACGUCUGGCAUCCACUUCCACGCGUCUUGGUUACGACAACAGAUGAAUCAAAGAUGUCCUCUGUCUGCCGUAAUACAUAUUUGAUCAUACCCGAAGAUCUAAUCCAGUGGUUGCACCUCAUCAAUGAUUGACAGUCUCGGCGAGGUAGCAGUUUAUAUUUCCUCCUCUAGCAACAGGAGACUGUCUCUGUAACUGGCCACCAUGUUAGAGGACAUUCGUUGAUCCAGCUCAGCAGCUGCUACAGUUGUAUAAAGAGUGAAUUACCUACUGAGCGCUGUGGAGCAACCAAUACACAAGCCUCUUCUCAGACAUUUGUUCACGGUUCCCAGGAGACCUUUCAGCCAAAGGUGCAGUAAAUAGCUCCUGUGUUGGUAAUCCAUCCCCGUGAUCCUGAUCUGAGGAGAGGAAAGAUGCUUAGAUUUAAACACGCUCUCAUCUGUCCUGGAAAUGUCUGUAUUUUCGUGACAGGGAAAAGUGAUUUGCCUUUGGCCGCUGCAGCACGAGCCACUAAUGAUGAUCGAAACCUCGAACACGUACGUAGCCAUUUAUCGUCCAUUUUUAAUGGACUGAGGCCCAUUGGCAGAGAUUCUGCAAAAGAGACUACUUUGUAUAAAGUGAAGGGCACUUGUGGUUAACUCACAUUAGGUGUCCAGGGACAUGUUCUGGGAUGAGAAUGGGACAAUCGGAAAACUGUUAGAAAUUAGACAGUGACGUGCUCUGUCUGAGGUACCCUUUCAUCAAAAUGACAAAGCCGGUCACCAUUGGUGAGGAAACCCUUUCAUUGUCCUAAUUAGUUUGACCAAGGACAGUCCGUUCCAAAUCUGGAUAAUAACUUGCUUUUCAGGCGACCUGUGGUCUCUGUGGUCAGCAAAGGCUCAAAUUAGUGCAGCCUUUACUUUCCUUCAGUAGUACAGGGAAAGUUAGAAUAAUUUAGAACAGACUUGUUCUCUCGUUGUUUUGUGGUAAAACACUUUCUAAAGAGGUGGUCUGGGCUGAAAAGUGAACAAGUGCCUUUUUAUUUACGAGGCACAAUAUUUAAAAUGUUCAAUUUUUUUUGUGUUAAGCAUUGUAAAAAUCGGUAAAAGCAAGAUUCUGUGUUUUUCUUCUCUUGGGGGUCCUUGAACAAUCUCUAGGGCGGUUAAUAUAAGAUAUCUAGGGACUAGGCAGCCCUGCCGUACUCCUCUGGACUGGCUCGGGGUUUCAUUAAAAUGUUGAUAAAAAUUUGAGAGAGACACGCUGGCAUUUAUGAGUGACCUUCUGUCUUUAUUACAUAUCAUACAGCCGGGCGAACAGAAGCCAUGGGAUGGCCUUCACAACAUGUAGCGGUCAGAGUAAUAUGAGGCGACAGAAGGGCAAAACUGUAGGUGUAAAUUACCCAAUCAGGUUUUUUCCCCUCGGCAAACAUCGGUAAUGGACAUGGCGAGUUGAAUUGUUGGCUUUAAGAGGAUGAAAGUACUGUAAGAGGUGGAUGAGGCGGCAUGUUAAUGGUGGUUCACUCGAGCUUCACCCUAAUGUACUAACAUCCUUUAGAUGUAUUAUCGUAAAAUGAUGUUCUGCUGUGGUUUGAGUAUGUUAAUCUCGACGCAGACCUAAAAAUUCCACCGUAAUUCCCACAGAACCUGAACACCUGAAACGUGCUGAAUGAUUGUACUAAAAAGUCUACGUGGUGCAAAAGAAUUAAGUCUACAAUUAGCCUUUUCAAUUAGCCUCUAAGGAGGGCGAACUGCUGAUAAAGAUCACAUGACAUGAUCAACAGCUGCAAGGCGGCGACUAAAUCAACCUCGAGGUGAGAUCGUUUCCCGAACGGUACAUUAAUUCCUUCCCGAAGUCAUACGUGUUUGUAUACAGUGGGACUGUAGCCUCCUCCUAUCUGCCUGAAUAGCACACAGGGGCUAAUUAACACGUCUGGCCCGUAAAUUGGGCCGUUGUCCCGCAACGGCAGUUUGACGCUGUGGUGGAAAACAGGCUCAGCAAACACAGAAAAGAUGGUCCGCAGCACAAACGGACUCCAUGAAACACAAACCACUAAGUACACCUCGCUCAGCUCGGCUUCCUCAUUCAAUUUUCCUUUGUGUCAUUUCGGGUCACGUGAGAUAAUGGUUUAAUGCACCGUUUCACAAAACAACACGCUAUGGAAAAGGAAAAUGAAGCAGUAUGUGGUUUGGGGGGGGGGGGAGGGCGUGUGGGACACGCGUGUCCUCGGCUGGAGACAUUCCCCCACUGGAAUUUCCAGUGGUCCGUGCGCUUCAUUUUGGAAUUUUUUUAAAUGGCUGCCUGGCAGCUGCCGGUGUUUCCAAGGCAACGGUGUGAUUGGGGAAAGGGGAUUUUGAAUGGUAGCUGUCAGCGAGGAAAAUUGAGCACCGCCACAGGGACACGUUUUACCCGGUGAGAGUUUACGUUAAAUGUGGGUCAAUCAUAAGCUUCUAUUAAAUCUUCACCCUGGUGAGGCUUGUUCAUUUGCAUUUUGCUUGACAUUCCAUUAAGAGUAAUAGGCUGCUCUCUGGUGUGUGAUGAAUGUGUGGCAGUCUGGGGGUCGGGGGGUACGUAAAAACUUAUUUUUAUAUUAGAUUUAUUGAAUUGGCACUUUCUUAGCGUAGAAAAUAUAUUUUAUUCAAUGUUGAUGAUUUAAUUCUGUAAUUAUUGUAAGUUCGCCCUGACAGUCCAAUCACAAUCAAUGGUAUAGUCCUCAAAUGCGUGUAUGUCUGCACUAUUGAAUCUAAUGUCCAAAUAUUAUUAAAUAUUUAAAUUUUAAAAACUACUGAUAGGACAAUCAUUUUGUGACUAGCUCUCAUGGAUAUGUUAUUUAACUUGGCUUGGUGUCAUUAUAUGCUUUACCUCAAUUCAAUAGAGAUUGAUCUGACAUAAGAGUCACUGAAUUUAAACUGACAGCAUCGAUCACCCACUGGUGCUAUUCUUUUGAUAUCUAAAUUAAAACAAACAGGCAGUGUAAUGAUAUGUGCGUGAUUUUAUGUGUUGUAUCAAAUAACAUGUUUCACUAUCUCCUAAUGGAUACUUUGCAAGGGAAUCACCAACUAGAGAGGCGAACAUCUGCACAUCAGGUUUUGAAUGGUAUGAUUACAGAUGUUUUACAGCCAUUCUUUGCCAACACGCUUGAAGCUUUAUCACACAGACAAGCCGCGCACGGGAGCCCUCAAUGUCCACUAGCGUGUACCAUGUAUUCAAAUAUAUUUCCUGUCCUUCAUUAAACUGUCGUUUGACCGCC